UUAUUUUGAAUUUUUUCAAGAACACGGGUGUAGAUGAGCCCGAAAGCAGAAACACCGCGCCCCUAAAUCAAUUGCUAAAAUUGUAAAAGAAGCACACGGUUCAGGGCCUCAUUAACCUCGAUCUGAAAAUCUGAAGAAGAUGCAUCGUAGAAAUGAACCAUCUAUGAUGGAGGACCGUCCUCAGUUCGAAAUAAAGAGAUUUAAGCUCCAAUUAUACAACGCUUUCCAAUCCCUUUGAGACCAAACCCAACCCAAUCCAACUCAAGAGGCUCAAGAUAAUUUCCAAUCUUGGUGGACAGGGCUUGAAGAAUUGUCUACCGGCAUCGAACACUUGACAGGGCUUGAAGAAUUGUCUGUAGAAAUCGGGUUUCUGAGGUGCCACGGGAUGCGACAAGACAAGCACACAAUCUUCCUCGAGGGGUGCUUUCGACANNNNNN
RNAcentral lists this long non-coding RNA (438 nucleotides) under Hordeum vulgare. RNAcentral describes it as "long non-coding RNA (HVUL_LNC014543)". Lineage: Eukaryota; Viridiplantae; Streptophyta; Magnoliopsida; Poales; Poaceae. The record is from RNAcentral.